GGACCCGCACAAGCGGUGGAUUAUGUGGAUUAAUUCGAUGCAACGCGAAAAACCUUACCUACCCUUGACAUGUCCGAGAGCCCGGUGAGAGCUGGGUGUGCCCGAAAGGGAAUCGGAACACAGGUGCUGCAUGGCUGUCGUCAGCUCGUGUCGUGAGAUGUUGGGUUAAGUCCCGCAACGAGCGCAACCCUUGUCAUUAGUUGCUACCCGCAAGGGAGCACUCUAAUGAGACUGCCGGUGACAAACCGGAGGAAGGUGGGGAUGACGUCAAGUCCUCAUGGCCCUUAUGGGUAGGGCUUCACACGUAAUACAAUGGCGCGUACAGAGGGUUGCCAAGGGGCGACCUGGAGCCAAUCCCUUAAAGCGCGUCGUAGUCCGGAUAGGAGUCUGCAACUCGACUCCUUGAAGUCGGAAUCGCUAGUAAUCGCGGAUCAGCAUGUCGCGGUGAAUACGUUCCCGGGUCUU
This 465-nucleotide ribosomal RNA is filed under the name uncultured bacterium. RNAcentral's name for it is "bacterial SSU rRNA". It matches the Rfam family "Bacterial small subunit ribosomal RNA", at positions 917 to 1382 of the family's 1533-position model. The record is from RNAcentral.